GUUGUGCCAAGCAGCAGGGAGGUGUGCCGCCGCGGGAGUGCCUACAGCCGGCGGCGGCGACAACAGCGGCAGGCGGCCACAGGGCUGACGGGAUUUGUUUUUCAUAGGUACUUUUGUUGUUCGGAGCAGAGGGGGCAGGCAAGGCCACGUGGAGGAGGACAGCGCGGUGCCGCCUUCAAAGCGGCGCCGGCGCGCAGGUUGAGACCUCGUUGUUGUGUGUGGUUACAAGGUGGUGAGCACGACGUGCAUUCCUGUCCUUGUAGAAACCUAGGCCCGGGCCGGGGGGCCCUUAUAACGCCUGCAACACUUAUAUAUGCAGCUAGUUUGGUCCCCGAAUGGGGGUGCUUAUGCUCCUGUGCUCCCAAAUGGAAUCUAGUAACGCGGCUAACCUGGCUGGGUCCGCAUUCUGCAUGACGGCCUGCAUUCCGCCUGUAAAAUCGAUCUCGCUACCCAAACGCAACUGGUCGUAGGCCGGAGACCUGCCGGUGUUGUCUGGUUAGCGACCUGUGCUGACGAGCAUGGCGUAGCAGGCAGUCGGCUGCAGCGGCAGGGGUGUUUUCCUUGCUGUCUGGUUGGCCUGCUGCCUGCUGCACUAGUGCUUGAUAGCUGGGCGCGACUGGGCACAUAUGGCGGGCGGUGCCUGUACAAACCGACCCCGGCUAUGUCCGGGAGAUGAGGCUAGUAUCGGAACCUUCGGCCUCAGACGGAG
Molecule: long non-coding RNA, 709 nt
Filed under: Chlamydomonas reinhardtii
Lineage: Eukaryota; Viridiplantae; Chlorophyta; Chlorophyceae; Chlamydomonadales; Chlamydomonadaceae
Description: long non-coding RNA (CREI_LNC000676)
Source: RNAcentral